GCCAACCGAGAGGCGGGCCGUUCACAUUUUGAACUGAGUCCUGCACGCCCACACCACACGCCCCGCUUUGACACUACAGUCAGUCCUCCAUUCACUUCCUCAACUCCUGUCACGUAACGCACCUUUCUUUUUCCCCUUCAAAGAAGAAUUUAUCCUUGUGUUUGCUUCUCUUGCCGCUUCUUUAUACCAACACAAAUUCCUUCUAUUGCUUGCAUCUUUCCCUCCGCUCUCCAAACCCUCCCGCUCUUCCUUUUUUCUUCCACUCUCAUGGCGAGCUGGAACGAAGAUCCCACCUCUACACCUCAGCCUUCGCAAUUUCACUUUCAUCUCCAAAAUCAAAGCCAAUCUUCUCCUUCUACUUCUACUCCUGAGAUUGAGAAUCCGCUCUUCUUUUCCUCUCUUCGUAAACCACAUCAUCCUCUUUCCUCUUCUCUUCCUCCUUCUAACACUCCUUUAGCUUUUCAAUUGCAUGCUGCUAACACGCAUUCGGCUUUCGCUAAACUCGAGUUGAAGCAAAAUAAUGAAAAAUACAAUCAUGAGACUAAGUAUAGUGGACAAGCAACCAUCCCUACUCGUAGCAAAUUGGUUGCUGGUCAUACACUUGGUCCUUCGUCCGCCGCUGGCAGUGAGCGAAACAAUAGAUCAAAGGCUCCAAAAAAUGGCAAAUUAGGGAUUCAAAGAUCAAAUUCAGAGUCUCUUAAUGGUGUGAAUCCGGCUACUGGUUGUCGCUAUGACAGUUCUUUAGGCCUAUUGUCCAAGAAAUUUGUCAAGUUGAUCCAGGAGGCCAAGGAUUGCACCCUUGAUCUCAACAGAACUGCAGAUGUGUUGGAGGUCCAAAAGAGGAGAAUAUAUGAUAUUACAAAUGUUUUGGAAGGAAUAGCAUUGAUAGAAAAAACGUCAAAAAACCACAUACGGUGGAAGGGCUAUGACGGUUGUGGGCCAGAGGAGUUUGAUAAUCAUGUUAACAGAUUAAAGGUAAUUGCAUGUUUAUUUAAUUUGUUUCAUCUAACAGAAACUUCAUGCAGGGUCCAUAGUCCUUCCACUGAUAUUAUGAUGGAUUGAUUGCCUUGUUGCAUGAUAAGGGCCUCAAUUUCUUUCUCGGCUGAUGUUGAAAGCUUACAUGCUGAAGAAUGCAGGGUCGAUGAAUCUAUAAGGGAAAAGCAAGAGCUUCUGAGGAUCCUGGAGGAAGAUGAAAAUAACAAAAGGCAUCUCUUUUUGAAGGAGGAAGAUAUCACAAGCCUUCCAUGCUUCCAGAAUCAAAUGCUCAUUGCAAUAAAAGCUCUUCAAGCUAGUUAUCUUGAAGUUCCUGAUCCUGAUGGGGGACAUUGGUCCUCCUCAGUAUAAAAGGAUUGUUAGAACUUAGAAGCAACACUGGACCAAUUGAUUUGUACCUCUUGAGGUACUUUCUUUACUUGCAUGCAUGUAUUUGCACAUCCAUUCUGAACUAACACUAUUUGUUUGAAGUGUGACGGUUUCUGCAGUGUCCUUACUUGUGAUCCUACCUGACCAUUGCAUAUUAUCUAGGACACGCGAGUGAAUAUAAGUGCUUGUUGCUUGUUUGUUCUAUAUUUGAUGUUAUCGCAACUAUAUUCUUGAUGCUUGUAGCAAAUACAAAAAACAAGUUGAGGAUGUAGCUGUCAAUCAUGCUAAACUACUGAAUCCUUGCCGUCCUCAAGGAGUGGAAACUGAAGAGCUAUCUUUAGACCAACAGAAUGAUCGAAACAAUGUUGGUGAGUUGUUCAGCUCAGCAUACUCAGAGUCGUCUGGAAUUCAGAAGAUAGGAACUGCAGACUAUGAUGAUAAGUAUAACUGGAAGCUUUAAGUUGACCUCACGAUUUCUUGCCCUUCAAGUAUAUACACAUGUUUAGGACAUUUGGUUGCUCAUGUGGAAGCUCAUUUUGACUAACUAGUUUGUAUAUAAUCCAUUGGCCAUCCUGUUGCAGAUUGAUGAUGAUUAUUGGUUUCAAUCCAACCCCAAAGUCAGCAUUUCAGAGUUGUGGGGGGAGUGGGAGUAAAUAGCAUCCAAACAGUGAGAUUCAUGAAGUUAUGAUUUUUGAAACAGUUGAACCUGUCGUAUAAUUUGAAGGCCUAACUUAUUGUUAGUCAGAAUGAUUCACGUGUUCAUCAGGUACUUCCUUGAUACUUCUGGGAAGAGUUGGUCACUGCUGUUUUGUGAGGUAAAAGAAAAUCAGGUUGUUUAAGAUGACCUGAAGGGGGUGCUUAUUACAAGUUUACACCCCCUUUGCACUUGGAAGUGUAAAUUUUGUAGAUAGAUUUUUUUAAUUUUUUCCCUUUAACUUAACUCUAACCAUUUAAGAAGUUUUAGGAAAUGGAUGCUGGAUUUCGCCAGUUGUCUUUUAUCUCUAAUCUUAAGGAGAACCCUUAAUUAUCAGUUUCAUUUUGGAUUUGUUUCAUCGUAAGUGUACUGGUCAUACUGGCCAUAUUGAUGUUGUACCUAGCGCCAGUGGGCAGUAUUUCGGGCUGAAGAGUUGAAGUGUUUUUAU
This 2504-nucleotide unclassified non-coding RNA is filed under the name Hevea brasiliensis (rubber tree). Lineage: Eukaryota; Viridiplantae; Streptophyta; Magnoliopsida; Malpighiales; Euphorbiaceae. The record is from RNAcentral.